This 2200-nucleotide long non-coding RNA is filed under the name Sus scrofa (pig). Its description in RNAcentral is "lncRNA (ENSSSCG00065032264.1)". Lineage: Eukaryota; Metazoa; Chordata; Mammalia; Artiodactyla; Suidae. The record is from RNAcentral.
CAUGCUUAUUGGUCAUUUAUAUAUCAUCCUUGGAGAAAUGUCUGUUAAAGUCCCAUGCACAUUUUUGAAUUGGGCUAUUUAUUUUUUGUUGUUAUUGAGUUGUAGGGAUUCUUUAUAUAUGCUGGAUACUAACCCCUUAUCAGACAUAUGAUUUAUAAAAUUUUCUCCCAAUCCAUAUGUUGCCUUUUCACUCUGUUGGUCUUUUAUGCACAGAAUUUUUAGGUUUGGAUGUAGUCCUAUUUAUCUAUUUUUUAAUAUAUUAUCUGUGUUUUUGGUGUCAUAUUUAAGAAAUCAUUGCCAGUGUCAUGAAGUUUUCUGCCUAUGUUUUCUUCUAGGAAUUUUAUUGGUUUGGGUUUUAUAUUCAGUUCUUCAAUCUAUUUUGGGUUCAUUUUUGUAUAUGCUGUAAGGUAAGGGUCAAAAUUUACUCUUUUGCAUGUGGAUAUCCAAUUUUCCCAGUAUCUUUUAUCGAAAAGACUGUUUUUGCCCCUAUUGUGUGGUCUUGGCACCCUUGUUGAAGAUUGUUUGACCACAUGCUUGAGUGUUCCUUUCAAGGUUCUCUAUUUUAUGUUGAUGCAUGUGAUUGUCUUUACUACAGUAUUUUGCUUAUUAACUUUGAAAUAUAUAUANAUAUAUAAUUUUUUUGGCCUUGCCUACAAUAUGUGGAAAUUCCCUGGCCAGGGACUGAGCCCAUACCACAGCAGUGACCCAAGCUACUGCAGUGAAAACACUAGAUCCUUAACCUACUGAACCCAUGGAGGGAACUCCAUGUUUUGAAAUCAGGAAGCGUGAGACCUCCUUUUGUUCUUCAAGAUUGUUUUGGUUAUUCAGGCUCCUUUGAUAUGCCUAUGAAUAUUUUGAUUUAUUUCCUUUUUCUGCAAAAGUACUACUAGGAUUUUGAUAGUGAUUGCAGCAAAUCUAUAGAUCACUUUGGGUAACAUUGUCAAAUUACUUUAAAAUACAAAAAUUUGAUUAUAUAUAUCUUAUGAGAUAUGGUCUAAGGACAGAAAAAGAGUGCAAAUAAACCUUGGUUUGGUUUUGUAAUCAUCUUGUUAUGAUAAUAUUUAUCUCUUUAUCCUGGAACUAGCAUAUAUAAUAGGAUAAAGCAAAUAAGUGUUUAUGUUAGCUUUGUUAGAAACUAAGAUUUUCUUUCUUUUUUUUUUUUUUUUUUUUUUUUAGGGCUUUUCCCCUGCCAUAUGGAGGUUCCCAGGCUAGGGGUCCAAUUGGAGCUGUAGCUGCUGGCCUACACCACAGCUACAGCAAUGCAGGAUCUGGCAUUAUCAAAACUGUGGCUCUGGUUACCGCUGUGGCAUGGGUUCAAUCCCUAGCCCAGGAACUUCUGCAUGAUGUAGAGGAGGCCAAACAAACAAAUGCUGUAAUCUUAAAUUGAGGGAAAUCAGUAUAAACUGAACAUUAAAAAAGUAAAAACAUUUUUCCUAGACUUAUCCACUGAGGAAGUCUAGAAAUCAACCCAGUUGCCAUGAGACCCCUCGUCAUAAUUGUAGUAGUCUCCAUAUACCAUUUCCCACUAAAAGUUUCUUGGAGAAAUUGCUAAGCUCAAGUUUGGCAGGAAAUUAAAAUGAUAGUUUGGGACACUUUGUCAUACCAGAACACAAGGAAACUAAGAUUACUAUGCUAUGUUUGACAUACACCAACUCAAAGGGGUCUCUUUUGGCUAAAGAUGGGAUAAUUUAAGUAUCAGAAAAACCCACAUUAAAUAUAUUAAUGUUCAUGAAUUCAUAAUGACAUUUAAAAAACCAACUCAUUGAUUACCUUUUGAGGAGGCCAGGAAACCAACUUAUUAAGAAAACUCCUAAGUGAAGAAAUCAAGCACCUACGCUGCCUUUCUGGCAUAAAAUUCACCUUGGGGUCACCAAAUAGGAAAGAGUAUUUCCUUAUAGAAGGAUUCCAACUUGUGAAUGUAGGAGGAAUGAUGGGAUUGAUAUUUCACCACUUUUCAAUUUCUAAUAAAAUAAUGGAUCUAGGCCAUGACCAUGAGUAGCUAGCUGCUAAAACCAUCUGAUCAAAAACUGAUGGGAGCUUGGUAAUGGAUGGCUCGGUCUAAGAACACCUGAAACCACUGACCAAUCUUGAUAUCACCCAAAGAAAAACAACCAGUAUUGCUCAGCUGCAGUAUCACAGGCAAUGAGUUUUAUCUGAGGUGGGAUUAUUGGUACUAAAAAAACACCAAAAACAAAAAAAA